Molecule: ribosomal RNA, 710 nt
Filed under: uncultured apostome ciliate
Lineage: Eukaryota; Ciliophora; Oligohymenophorea; Apostomatida
Description: bacterial SSU rRNA
Rfam family: Eukaryotic small subunit ribosomal RNA
Source: RNAcentral
UGAUCCAGGGAGGUAGUGACAAGAAAUAACAACCUAGUCGCAAGACAGUGGAUUGUAAUGAGUGCAAUUUAAAACACUGCACGAGGAACAAUUGGAGGGCAAGUCUGGUGCCAGCAGCCGCGGUAAUUCCAGCUCCAAUAGCGUAUAUUAAAGUUGUUGCAGUUAAAAAGCUCGUAGUUGAAUUUCUAGUCAGUUAAUUUGGAGGUCUCCUUCACUUUAGCUGGCUAUUCGACACUGAACCAUGUCGGUUAUUAAGUUAACCCCAUGGAGAAUUGUCAUUUUACUUUGAAAAAAUUAGAGUGUUUCAGGCAGGCAAUUGCCCGGAUAUCUUAGCAUGGAAUAAUGGAAUAGGACUUUGGUUCAUUUUAUUGGUUAUUGAAUCAGAGUAAUGAUUAAUAGGGACAGUUGGGGGCAUCAGUAUUCAAUCGUCAGAGGUGAAAUUCUUGGAUUGAUUGAAGACUAACUACUGCGAAAGCAUUUGCCAAGGAUGUUUUCAUUAAUCAGUGAACGAAAGUUAGGGGAUCGAAGACGAUCAGAUACCGUCGUAGUCUUAACCAUAAACUAUGCCGACUAGGGAUCGGACGGUGUUAGUAUUUUGACCCGUUCGGCACCUUACGAGAAAUCAAAGUUUUUGGGUUCUGGGGGGAGUAUGGUCGCAAGGCUGAAACUUAAAGAAAUUGACGGAAGGGCACCACCAGGCGUGGAGCCUG